GUGGGAUUGGUCAGAAUUCCUUUGGAGCAGGUGGGAUUGGUCGGAAUUACUUUCGAGCAGGUGGGAUUGGUCAAAAAUCCUUUUGAGUAGUUGGGAUUGGCCAGCAUUCCUUUUGGGGCAGAUGGGAUUGGUCAGACCUCCUUUUGAGCAGAUGGGAUUGAUCACAACUCCUUUGGAGCAGAUGGGAUUGAUCAGAACUCCUUUGGAGCAGGUGGGAUUGGUCAGAACUCCUUUGGAGCAGAUGGGAUUGGUCAGAACUCCUUUUGGAGCAGACGGGAUUGGUCAGAACUCCUUUGGAGCAGACGGG
Molecule: long non-coding RNA, 307 nt
Organism: Ictalurus punctatus (channel catfish)
Lineage: Eukaryota; Metazoa; Chordata; Actinopteri; Siluriformes; Ictaluridae
Source: Ensembl